RNAcentral lists this RNase P RNA (388 nucleotides) under Bacteroidales bacterium. Its description in RNAcentral is "RNase P RNA component class A". It matches the Rfam family "Bacterial RNase P class A". From Rfam's summary of the family: Ribonuclease P (RNase P) is a ubiquitous endoribonuclease, found in archaea, bacteria and eukarya as well as chloroplasts and mitochondria. Its best characterised activity is the generation of mature 5'-ends of tRNAs by cleaving the 5'-leader elements of precursor-tRNAs. The record is from RNAcentral. Lineage: Bacteria; Pseudomonadati; Bacteroidota; Bacteroidia; Bacteroidales.
AACGGCAGCCGCUCUAUCGCCGGCAGAGCAAUCUGCGGGAGGAAAGUCCGGGCAGCGCAGAGUCGCCAUACUUCCUAACGGGAAGGGGUGCGUCGUCGCAAGAGUCGCACCACAGAAAGUGCCACAGAAAACAAACCGCUUUAUGCAGGUAUGACGCCUGCAAAAAGUAAGGGUGAAAACGCGAGGUAAGAGCUCACGACAUUUUGCAGUGAUGCAUAAUGGUGGUAAACCUUAUGGGCUGAAAAACCAAAUAUACCGGCAGUUAAGGAUUGACUCGUCCGUUGUCGGGGGGUAGGUCGAUUGAGGCAUUCGGUGACGGAUGUCCUAGAUUAAUGAUAGAGAAUUGCUUGUGCAAUUACAGAACCCGGCUUACAAGCUGCUGUUUCUU